ACUCAAAGGAAUUGACGGGGACCCGCACAAGCGGUGGAGCAUGUGGUUUAAUUCGAAGCAACGCGAAAAACCUUACCCACUCUUGACAUCUGACUGAUCGGCCGGUAAUGCGGUCUUUCCUUCGGGACAGUCAAGACAGGUGGUGCAUGGUUGUCGUCAGCUCGUGUCGUGAGAUGUUGGGUUAAGUCCCGCAACGAGCGCAACCCUUAUCUUCAGUAGCCAGCAAGUCAAGUUGGGGACUCUGGAGAGACUGUCCGGGAUAACCGGGAGGAAGGUGGGGAUGACGUCAAAUCAUCAUGCCCCUUAUGAGUGGGGCUACACACGUGCUACAAUGGCGUAAACAAAGGGAAGCAACCCUGUGAAGGUGAGCCAAUCCCAAAAAAUACGUCACAGUUCGGAUUGUAGUCUGCAACUCGACUACAUGAAGCCGGAAUCGCUAGUAAUCGUAAAUCAGCAUGUUACGGUGAAUACGUUCCCGGGUCUUGUACACACCGCCCGU
This 499-nucleotide ribosomal RNA is filed under the name uncultured bacterium. Its description in RNAcentral is "bacterial SSU rRNA". It matches the Rfam family "Bacterial small subunit ribosomal RNA", at positions 899 to 1397 of the family's 1533-position model. The record is from RNAcentral.